Ictalurus furcatus (blue catfish) is the source of this 1002-nucleotide long non-coding RNA. RefSeq lists it as uncharacterized. The record is from RefSeq and is a predicted model, not a curated record. The transcript is spliced from 3 exons. NCBI's taxonomy places the organism in Eukaryota, Metazoa, Chordata, Actinopteri, Siluriformes, Ictaluridae.
AUGCAGGCACCGGAAAAAGGGGGAAAGGGAAAAGAGAGAGAGGAGGAAAAAGAGGGAAAGUUGAAUCCAGGGGAUAAGCACAGGUGCAUGCUGGCAAGCUCCAGACGGAGAUGUUGGAGGUCCUACCUGUAAGCCGUAGCAACCGUUGAGGUGAGCUGGAAUGACUUGGGUGAACAGAAGCGCACUGGAAACCCACCGUGGACUGCUCACUAGGAGCCGUCUGUGAUCCCCCAUACAUACACACACACGCACACACACACACCCCUACCUUGUUGAUAAACUGCUAACCGGCUUCCCAAAGAGCAUGACUGCCUCGGCUGUCACUGGCUGAUGGAUACAGAGACACAGAAAAAGUGUCUUCAUGUUGUGGAAACUCAACCUGGGAAGAUCUAUAAUCUAUCUGGUACACCAAUCCCUGAAAAACCGUGAAUGAGUGCGAAACAGAGAGAUCCUGUGGCAAAGGAACACUACUCCAUCCUGUCCUCUCCUGUCAGGGCAUGGCCCAGGUCCAGGAUGGACACCCAAAAGAAUGUGACAGGUGAGCAGCUUAGUUCAUAUUAAAUGCAAAGUGGGUUAGAAGAGCCUAAUUACAGUAUGCGAGGAAGCGUUAUAUCGUACUCUUACAUUCUCACAGUGUGGGCAGAAAAUAAGCAUUGUAAAUAACUUCAUUAUCAUACCUAAUAAAGCAGAGGACGGCAAAAGAAAAAUCCUCUCUAUACAAACCCAACAACAGCUGUGAUUUAAGCAAAUGGAUUCUUUGAGCGACCAUGUAAUGCUAACCUCAUUUAGGACUGAAAAACCUAGCUCCAAAUGAUGAUUAUCCAGCAUGGUUUAUUUAGCAAAUCAAAAGUGCUAACUUUCAAAUAAAACUGACAAUUAGGAUCGAACAGAAUGCUCUCGUAUGAUAUCGCCACCACUACUAAUAGCUUUCAUUCACAUUCAAGUCACAUUCGCGUGUUUAUGAAACCAUCUAUGCUGUGAUGUUUAACAAGAAAACACUAG